Molecule: ribosomal RNA, 487 nt
Filed under: uncultured cyanobacterium
Lineage: Bacteria; Bacillati; Cyanobacteriota
Description: bacterial SSU rRNA
Rfam family: Bacterial small subunit ribosomal RNA
Source: RNAcentral
CGCCGCGUGAGGGAUGAAGGCCUCUGGGCUGUAAACCUCUUUUAUCAAGGAAGAAGAUCUGACGGUACUUGAUGAAUAAGCCACGGCUAAUUCCGUGCCAGCAGCCGCGGUAAUACGGGAGUGGCAAGCGUUAUCCGGAAUUAUUGGGCGUAAAGCGUCCGCAGGCGGUCUUGUAAGUCUGUCGUUAAAGCGUGGAGCUUAACUCCAUUUCGGCGGUGGAAACUACAAGACUAGAGUGUGGUAGGGGCAGAGGGAAUUCCCGGUGUAGCGGUGAAAUGCGUAGAUAUCGGGAAGAACACCAGUGGCGAAGGCGCUCUGCUGGGCCAUAACUGACGCUCAUGGACGAAAGCCAGGGGAGCGAAAGGGAUUAGAUACCCCUGUAGUCCUGGCCGUAAACGAUGAACACUAGGUGUCGGGGGAAUCGACCCCCUCGGUGUCGUAGCCAGCGCGUUAAGUGUUCCGCCUGGGGAGUACGCACGCAAGUGUG